GCAGAACGCGAAGAACCUUACCAACCCUUGACAUGUGUAUCGCGGUUCCAGAGAUGGUUCCUUCAGUUCGGCUGGAUACAACACAGGUGCUGCAUGGCUGUCGUCAGCUCGUGUCGUGAGACUGUUCGGUUAAGUCCGGCUAACGAGCGCAACCCACACUUUCAGUUGCCAUCAUUCAGUUGGGCACUCUGGAAGAACUGCCGGUGAUAAGCCGGAGGAAGGUGUGGAUGACGUCAAGUCCUCAUGGCCCCUUACGGGUUGGGCUACACACGUGCUACAAUGGUGGUGACAAUGGGUUAAUCCCCAAAAGCCAUCUCAGUUCGGAUUGGGUCUGCAACUCGACCCCAUGAAGUCGGAAUCGCUAGUAAUCGCGUAACAGCAUGACGC
RNAcentral lists this ribosomal RNA (387 nucleotides) under uncultured bacterium. RNAcentral describes it as "bacterial SSU rRNA". It matches the Rfam family "Bacterial small subunit ribosomal RNA", at positions 954 to 1360 of the family's 1533-position model. The record is from RNAcentral.